UCGAUGAAGAACGCAGCGAAAUGCGAUACGUAAUGUGAAUUGCAGAAUUCAGUGAAUCAUCGAAUCUUUGAACGCACCUUGCGCCCCUUGGCAUUCCGAGGGGCACACCCGUUUGAGUGUCGUGAAAUUCUCAAAAACCUUCCUUUGGUGGAAAGGAUUUUGGACUUGGAGGCCUUUUGCUGGUUUCACCUUGAAGCGAGCUCCUCCCAAAUGGAUUAGUGGGGUCUGCUUUGCCGGUCCUAGACGUGAUAAGAUGUUUCUACGUCUUGGGUUUCUGCACUGUACCUCUGCUUCUAACCGUCUCAUUGACAAUGAUGGUGUUCCGGUCACCGCCGAUUUAUCGGUUGGGAGGCUUGACCCACAAAACGACCUUGACCUCAAAUCGGGUGAGACUACCCGCUGAACUUAA
RNAcentral lists this ribosomal RNA (409 nucleotides) under uncultured Russula. RNAcentral's name for it is "eukaryotic LSU rRNA". The stretch from base 1 to 122 matches the Rfam family "5.8S ribosomal RNA", at positions 33 to 154 of the family's 154-position model. Lineage: Eukaryota; Fungi; Basidiomycota; Agaricomycetes; Russulales; Russulaceae. The record is from RNAcentral.